Molecule: long non-coding RNA, 1186 nt
Organism: Rhododendron vialii
Lineage: Eukaryota; Viridiplantae; Streptophyta; Magnoliopsida; Ericales; Ericaceae
Exons: 3
Source: RefSeq, a predicted model, not a curated record
UCCUUAUCAGACUCUUUAAGCAAUUUUCCUGUCUGUCAGUUGAAUCCAUAUACGAAUUACAGCAUCUUCACCGGCACUUAUAAUAGUCUUGUUCAAUGGUCCCCAAACAGCUCUAUUUAUUCUUCCCUGGGGCCCCUUGAGUGUAAGCACACACUCUCCAGUCUCUACAAAUCACAUAACAGUCUAGUUGGACCAAUGGAAUCAAAGAGGCAUUCAAGCAUAAGAAGCACCAUAAGACCAAGUAGAUACUAACAGAUAGUAAGUUGAUGAGGAGUAAGAAUCAGUGAGUCAAUCAGAAAAGACAAUAAAGAACGCGUCUGUUAGUCUCUUCAGGACAUUUAUCAUUAUCACUUGAAAAUAUAAUAUUAUAGCAUCCCAUUGAAUAACUACUAUUGCCAAUUAACCCGGAGUUCAGAAUGCCAUUUCAGUGAUUCUCCUGCCAUUUCAUCUCGAUAAGCAAUCUGCUUGUGCAAACAAUACUGCUUGAAAGAUGCAGGAGGACCUUUUGCAGGUUUUCGUUACGUUCUGGACUUUUUUCUUCUUGGUUAAUAAAAUCUAGCCUUACAACAUGAACCAUAAAACGAACUAAGACUUCCAUAAUCAAACCUCAAGGGGUGUACCAAAAGAUUCCAUUCCUACCGCCGCCCCCCACCCCCCACCACCACCAUGGACCACCCACAAAGGCCAACACCUGUGUCAGCUCCAUUUUGUUAAUUUCCCUUGCUAUAAGAAGUUGCAAGCUGAGAAGAUAGAAAAGAAUCUGAAGAAGGAAAAGAAGAAUCCGAAGGUGGAACUCUGCAGAAGUUCAGAUGCAGAGAUGUAGCAGCAGCAGGGGAGUAGAAAUGCAGAGAGGAGAACGCAACAAACAGAAGAUAAAGGGAAAGAGGAAAAGAGAGCGAUGCAAGAAGAGGGAAUAGAGAGAAAGGUAUAGAGGAAAGGAGAGAAACACAAGGAGAAAGCAGUCCAGAAUCCAGAUAUAAUAGGAUCCUUCAAAAUUAGCUAGCAAAUAUCCUAGGUAUUCUUAAAACUAAAAAAUGGUCUCUCCUUCUUUCUAGAGGACCAACUGAGACCCUUUUUCCUGUCUCGUCAAAAACAGUAGCACAAAACCUUACCAGAAGGCAAAAAGAAAGAAAAGAAUAGAAAGAGGCCCAUCUAUAGCACUCGAGGUAGAUGCUCCCCUUUUCAG